UAAAAAUAUAAAGCCUUCAAAGAGACAACAGUAAAAGAAAAAAAGCCAUGUAAAGAUGGGAAAUACACAGGGAAUCUGGAUCUUGUAAUCUUGUAUAGUAUUGUGUUGAUUUUGAAUUUUUUGAUUGCUGAUAAACAAACAGCUGCCAAGAAACCUAGAGUUGACAGAGGGACUGUUGAAAUAAACCAGCCCAUACCCUUUAGGAAUGCUUUAACUUUAAAAUGGAAGUCAAGAAACAUAUCUGUCAAAUGGAAAUCAAAAAUGCUUUGGAGGAGAGGUUUGGCUUUUGUUCCCACAGGAAGUGAGAAGCUGUGGAUUUCUUCCAGGUUAAUAUGGUUUGAUCAGGGGAGCUCUCUUGAGUCUUGACAGGUGAUAUCUAUCAACAAAGGUUACUGCUGGUCUUCCCAAGACUUGGUGAUUAUCUCAAAAUUUCUCAGGGACCCUGAAGAUGCCUUCACUCCCAUUCAACAAGAGGCAGUCUAGAGAACACGACAUUCACAUUCCCAAGAGUUGGAUUGUUGGAGGCUUUUCAUUAUCUGAUUCCAAGGGCCGGCCCUGAAAAAGCACAGUUGAUCAGCCACACUCUGUCCGCCUGUCCCCCAGAGGGGAGCACCUCUCCAUCCCGGAGCCUUCCGGCGCAUUGUUGGAAAGCUGCAAGAGUUUAUGAUUUAGGGGGGAAAUAAAAACUCAGAUUUAAUAGCUCCAGAGUAUAAUCCCCAUUACAUACACAGUGGAGUGGCAGGGGCGGGGUUGUGCUAUUCCGGGUUUCUGGAGCUGGUGACACACUCUCAGGCAUCUCUGCUCUCCGCUGGGUUUGCGGACCAAAGCUCAACAUAAUGCAGCUGCCUGAGCACAGAUCGGACUAGCAAAGAGAAAAUGGUUUCCAUUCUUCCUGCUACAGACUUUGUCCUCUGGGAUGGGGGCCAAACAAGCAUGGGACAGGAACAAACCCAGGGUUGACUGGAUGCCACUGCUGCCACCAAGUGAUCAAAGACAGAGACCAAAACAUGGUGGUUCAUCCAAGGGAAGAAACCGGCCUUGGUGGCCUGGCAAAGAAUGUGGCCAGCUCUGUAUUGUGUUCAGGAGUUUCGGAACUCUCUAGCUCAGCAGUUCUCAACUUUCCUAAUGCUGCGACCCUUUAAUACAGUUCCUCAUGUUGUGGUGACCCCCAUCUCCCACCCCCAUACACACACAACCAUAAAAUUAUUUUUGUUGCUA
Molecule: long non-coding RNA, 1218 nt
Organism: Mesocricetus auratus (golden hamster)
Lineage: Eukaryota; Metazoa; Chordata; Mammalia; Rodentia; Cricetidae
Exons: 2
Source: RefSeq, a predicted model, not a curated record